Molecule: transfer RNA, 65 nt
Filed under: Actinomycetota bacterium
Lineage: Bacteria; Bacillati; Actinomycetota
Description: tRNA-Ala
Rfam family: tRNA
About the family: Transfer RNA (tRNA) molecules are approximately 80 nucleotides in length. Their secondary structure includes four short double-helical elements and three loops (D, anti-codon, and T loops). Further hydrogen bonds mediate the characteristic L-shaped molecular structure. tRNAs have two regions of fundamental functional importance: the anti-codon, which is responsible for specific mRNA codon recognition, and the 3' end, to which the tRNAs corresponding amino acid is attached (by aminoacyl-tRNA synthetases). tRNAs cope with the degeneracy of the genetic code in two manners: having more than one tRNA (with a specific anti-codon) for a particular amino acid; and 'wobble' base-pairing, i.e. permitting non-standard base-pairing at the 3rd anti-codon position.
Source: RNAcentral
GUACCGAAUACGCACCGGACUUGCUUUGCAAGCAGGGGUCGGCGGUUCGAGUCCGCUCCGCUCCA